Molecule: non-coding RNA, 98 nt
Organism: Microbacterium sp. TS-1
Lineage: Bacteria; Bacillati; Actinomycetota; Actinomycetes; Micrococcales; Microbacteriaceae
Source: Rfam
UUCUGACCCGUGGCCGUGAUCCUCAGCCGCUGGCCCUGACGCACUUCCCCGGUGUCAGGUCGCAGCGGAGGGGGAUCAGGGCUCCGGGGCCGUCCCGC